GCCGGAAUAGCUCAGUCGGU
This 20-nucleotide transfer RNA is filed under the name Lepidozia sp. EDC-2012. Its description in RNAcentral is "partial tRNA-Phe". The record is from RNAcentral. Lineage: Eukaryota; Viridiplantae; Streptophyta; Jungermanniopsida; Jungermanniales; Lepidoziaceae.